GGGGGGGGGGGGGGGGGGGGGGGGGGGGGGGGGGGGGGGGAGAAAGGAAAAAAAAAAAAAAAAAAAAAAGACAA
This is a long non-coding RNA of Camelus dromedarius (Arabian camel), 74 nucleotides long. RefSeq lists it as uncharacterized. The transcript has 2 exons. The record is from RefSeq and is a predicted model, not a curated record. Lineage: Eukaryota; Metazoa; Chordata; Mammalia; Artiodactyla; Camelidae.